Chiloscyllium plagiosum (whitespotted bambooshark) is the source of this 1384-nucleotide non-coding RNA. NCBI's taxonomy places the organism in Eukaryota, Metazoa, Chordata, Chondrichthyes, Orectolobiformes, Hemiscylliidae. The record is from RefSeq and is a predicted model, not a curated record.
AUAAAAUAAACAUGUUCUCACCAAUUUUGUAUCGUCUCCAGAACAAUGACCUGGGAGAUUAAGGAGUGAAAUUACAUCUGUGGCUCUAAGGAAACCAAAAUGCAAAUUACAGGGACUGGAGUAAGUAGCAGAAUGUGAAAUGUUUACAAUAACCAGAUGUCUGACACUGUACACUGUUAAUUUUGCUAUAAUGUUAUUAAUAAAAAAUGUGGAAGCUCGCAUAUUGUUAAUAAAAUGUGUACAAGUUAAACGUUAUCAGUAACGACAUUAAUAACAAACAGUGGAAGUGAAGUUGGACAAGAGUGGAGAUGUAAACAUCAUAUUUGUCAGCUCGUGCAGGCCCGCCCAGUUAUCAACCUCUGAACUGAAUAUGUUAAAAUUCGGCUGAGCAUGAUACAGAUGAACCAAGCAAUCUCAUGUAUUCUGCAUCCUUAAGAGACCCCAUUUCAUACAUGGUGUGUUUCUCCCUAAUGCUCAUUAUCCAGUUUUCUGAUUUUAGUUCCCAGUCUAAACAAUAAGAACCUCUCAGAUUCUUGCACUGAUGACCUCGCCUCUGCUGUCAGUACAAAUCAGACACUGAUAAUUCUGAACAUGGGCUGUAAUAAGCUGGGAGAUUCAGGAGUGAAACGACUGUCUCUGAAUGAGGAAUCCAAACUAAAAUGCACACUGUGCGAUUCUGGCUCCUAAGAUCCCAUCUCUGUUGUCUAUGCACGUUGGUCCAUGAUAGACCUGAACCAAAAUGAUAAUAAAUUGUCACAGUUGGGAGCGCAACAACUGACUGUGGCUCUGUAGAACCCAAACUGUAAAAUAUCGAAUCUGAGAAGUGUAAUCGCACACAGCUGAACAACGUUCCCAUAAUCAAAAUUAUCAUUGACAAUUUGCGUUUAGUUAGCAUAUAAUCACCAGCAGGAAACCACUCGUGCAACCAGUGGAAUAUUUACAACAACGCCGCUUACAGGCAAAGAAAAUCAUUACAAAUGACAGAGUGGGAAGGGACGAAAUCGCAGCAGAGUUGUGGGGAGAGGGCAGGGGCACAGAUGAAGCACUAUAUACCCUGAGGUGCACAGCUCUAUCUAAAAGCAUCAGGAGCAUUGAUACACACCACAUGCUCCUUCUCCACGGACACGCUGCUGUGUAGCCUUUAUCCUCAAUCAUAGAACAGAAUCCCUACAGCAUGGACGGAGAACAUUGGUCCAUCAAAUCCCACCGACCAUCUGAAGAAAAUCUCAACCAGAGCACUCCAUCCCUGAAACACUGCAUUUCACACGGUUGAUUCACCAAGUCUGCAAAUUCCUGGACGCUGUGGACAAAAUGCUGAAAAUAGGAGUAAAGACAGGAUUUUUGGCAGUUUGAAGGAACAGCGAGAUCUGGCUGUGCAUGUACA